Molecule: ribosomal RNA, 497 nt
Filed under: uncultured bacterium
Lineage: Bacteria
Description: partial 16S ribosomal RNA
Rfam family: Bacterial small subunit ribosomal RNA
Source: RNAcentral
GAUGAACGCUGGCGGCGUGCCUAAUACAUGCAAGUCGAGCGAAAGGACGAGAAGCUUGCUUCUCUGAUGUUAGCGGCGGACGGGUGAGUAACACGUGGAUAACCUACCUAUAAGACUGGUAUAACUUCGGGAAACCGGAGCUAAUACCGGAUAAUAUCUUGAACCGCAGGGUGCAAAAGUGAAAUACGGUCUUGCGGGAACGUAUAGCGGGAUCCCAGCUGCAUUAGCUAGUUGGUAAGGUAACGGCUUACCAAGGCAACGAGGCAUAGCCGAACUGAGAGAGUGAUAGCCCACACUGGAGGUGAGACACGGUCCAGACUCCUACGGGAGGCAGCAGAAGGGUAUCGGACGCAAUAGGCGGGAAUCUGGCAGAGCGGCGCGGCGCGAGUGAUGACGGCCUCGGGUUCGUAAUACUCUGUUACUAGGGAAGAACAUCUGUGUAAGUAACUGUGCACAGCUUGACGGUACUUAAUAAGAAAGCAACGGCUAACUACGUG